Molecule: transfer RNA, 74 nt
Filed under: Rhizomucor miehei CAU432
Lineage: Eukaryota; Fungi; Mucoromycota; Mucoromycetes; Mucorales; Lichtheimiaceae
Description: tRNA-Arg (TCT) (tRNA-Arg-TCT-3-1)
Rfam family: tRNA
About the family: Transfer RNA (tRNA) molecules are approximately 80 nucleotides in length. Their secondary structure includes four short double-helical elements and three loops (D, anti-codon, and T loops).
Source: RNAcentral
GCUCUCUUGGCGCAAUUGGAUAGCGCAUCGGUCUUCUAAACCGAAGGUUGUGGGUUCGACCCCCACAGGGAGCU